RNAcentral lists this ribosomal RNA (422 nucleotides) under uncultured bacterium. RNAcentral describes it as "bacterial SSU rRNA". It matches the Rfam family "Archaeal small subunit ribosomal RNA", at positions 325 to 747 of the family's 1478-position model. The record is from RNAcentral.
ACGGGGUGCAGCAGGCGCGAAAACUUUACAAUGCGGGAAACCGUGAUAAGGGGACACCGAGUGCCAGCAUCAUAUGCUGGCUGUCCGGAUGUGUAAAAUACAUCCGUUAGCAAGGGCCGGGCAAGACCGGUGCCAGCCGCCGCGGUAACACCGGCGGCCCGAGUGGUGAUCGUGAUUAUUGGGUCUAAAGGGUCCGUAGCCGGUUUGGUCAGUCCUCCGGGAAAUCUGAUAGCUCAACUAUUAGGCUUUCGGGGGAUACUGCCAGACUUGGAACCGGGAGAGGUAAGAGGUACUACAGGGGUAGGAGUGAAAUCUUGUAAUCCCUGUGGGACCACCUGUGGCGAAGGCGUCUUACCAGAACGGGUUCGACGGUGAGGGACGAAAGCUGGGGGCACGAACCGGAUUAGAUACCCGUGUAGUCC